This 1481-nucleotide ribosomal RNA is filed under the name Nunduva biania. RNAcentral describes it as "16S ribosomal RNA". It matches the Rfam family "Bacterial small subunit ribosomal RNA". The record is from RNAcentral. Lineage: Bacteria; Bacillati; Cyanobacteriota; Cyanophyceae; Nostocales; Rivulariaceae.
AGAGUUUGAUCCUGGCUCAGGAUGAACCUGGCGGGCGUGCUUAACACAUGCAAGUCGAACGGUCUCUUCGGAGAUAGUGGCGGACGGGUGAGUAACGCGUGAGAAUCUGCCUUUAGGUUCGGGACAACAGUUGGAAACGACUGCUAAUACCGAAUGUGUCGCAAGAUGAAAGAUUUAUUGCCUAGAGAUGAGCUCGCGUCCGAUUAGCUAGUUGGAGUGGUAAAAGCACACCAAGGCGACGAUCGGUAGCUGGUCUGAGAGGAUGAUCAGCCACAUUGGGACUGAGACACGGCCCAAACUCCUACGGGAGGCAGCAGUGGGGAAUUUUCCGCAAUGGGCGAAAGCCUGACGGAGCAACGCCGCGUGAGGGAGGAAGGCUCUUGGGUUGUAAACCUCUUUUCUCAAGGAAGAUUUCAGACGGUACUUGAGGAAUCAGCAUCGGCUAACUCCGUGCCAGCAGCCGCGGUAAUACGGAGGAUGCAAGCGUUAUCCGGAAUAAUUGGGCGUAAAGCGUUCGUAGGUGGUUUUGUAAGUCUGCUGUUAAAGCGUGUAGCUCAACUACAUAUAGGCGGUGGAAACUACAAGACUUGAGUGCGUUCGGGGUAGAGGGAAUUCCUGGUGUAUCGGUGAAAUGCGUAGAGAUCAGGAAGAACACCGGUGGCGAAGGCGCUCUACUAGACCGCAACUGACACUGAGGACCGAAAGCUAGGGGAGCGAAUGGGAUUAGAUACCCCAGUAGUCCUAGCUGUAAACGAUGGAUACUAGGCGUUGUCUGUAUCGACCCGGACAGUGCCGUAGCUAACGCGUUAAGUAUCCCGCCUGGGGAGUACGCACGCAAGUGUGAAACUCAAAGGAAUUGACGGGGGCCCGCACAAGCGGUGGAGUAUGUGGUUUAAUUCGAUGCAACGCGAAGAACCUUACCAAGGCUUGACAUGUCCGGAAGUUCUGGGAAACUAGAAUGUGCCUUCGGGAACCGGAACACAGGUGGUGCAUGGCUGUCGUCAGCUCGUGUCGUGAGAUGUUGGGUUAAGUCCCGCAACGAGCGCAACCCUCGUCCUUAGUUGCCAGCACUUAGGGUGGGCACUUUAGGGAGACUGCCGGUGACAAACCGGAGGAAGGUGGGGAUGACGUCAAGUCAUCAUGCCCCUUACGUCUUGGGCUACACACGUACUACAAUGCUGUGGACAAAGAGCAGCCAACUAGCGAUAGUGCGCUAAUCUCAUAAACCAUGGCUCAGUUCAGAUUGCAGGCUGCAACUCGCCUGCAUGAAGUAGGAAUCGCUAGUAAUUGCAGGUCAGCAUACUGCAGUGAAUUCGUUCCCGGGCCUUGUACACACCGCCCGUCACACCAUGGAAGUUGGUCACGCCCGAAGUCGUUACCCUAACCGUUCGCGGAGGGGGAUGCCGAAGGUAGGACUGAUGACUGGGGUGAAGUCGUAACAAGGUAGCCGUACCGGAAGGUGUGGCUGGAUCACCUCCUUU